Molecule: ribosomal RNA, 253 nt
Filed under: uncultured bacterium
Lineage: Bacteria
Description: partial 16S ribosomal RNA
Rfam family: Bacterial small subunit ribosomal RNA
Source: RNAcentral
UACGGGGGGGGCAAGCGUUGUUCGGAAUUACUGGGCGUAAAGGGUUUGUAGGUGGCUUGUUAAGUCAGACGUGAAAUCCCUCAGCUUAACUGGGGAACUGCGUCUGAUACUGAGUGGCUUGAGUGCAGGAGAGGAAUGCGGAAUUCCAGGUGUAGCGGUGAAAUGCGUAGAUAUCUGGAGGAACACCGGUGGCGAAGGCGGCAUUCUGGACUGUAACUGACACUGAGGAACGAAAGCCAGGGGAGCAAACGGG